This 253-nucleotide ribosomal RNA is filed under the name uncultured bacterium. RNAcentral describes it as "partial 16S ribosomal RNA". It matches the Rfam family "Bacterial small subunit ribosomal RNA", at positions 524 to 776 of the family's 1533-position model. The record is from RNAcentral.
UACAGAGGGGGCAAGCGUUGUUCGGAAUUAUUGGGCGUAAAGGGCGCGUAGGCGGCUCGGCACGUCCGUUGUGAAAUCGCCCGGCUCAACUGGGCGGGGUCAGCGGAUACGACCGAGCUUGAGCAAGCUAGGGGGCAAUGGAAUUCCCGGUGUAGUGGUGGAAUGCGUAGAUAUCGGGAGGAACACCAGUGGCGAAGGCGGUUGCCUGGAGCUUUGCUGACGCUGAUGCGCGAAAGCGUGGGGAGCAAACAGG